RNAcentral lists this ribosomal RNA (1386 nucleotides) under metagenome. RNAcentral's name for it is "bacterial SSU rRNA". It matches the Rfam family "Bacterial small subunit ribosomal RNA". The record is from RNAcentral.
AGAGUUUGAUCCUGGCUCAGGAUGAACGCUGGCGGCGUGCUUAACACAUGCAAGUCGAACGAACCUUCGGGUUAGUGGCGGACGGGUGAGUAACGCGUGGGAAUCUGCCCUCAGGAGGGGGAUAACGGCUGGAAACGGCCGCUAAUACCCCAUACGCCGAGAGGUGAAAAGAAAUUCGCCUGAGGAUGAGCCCGCGUCUGAUUAGCUAGUUGGUGGGGUAAGAGCUCACCAAGGCGACGAUCAGUAGCUGGUCUGAGAGGAUGAUCAGCCACACUGGGACUGAGACACGGCCCAGACUCCUACGGGAGGCAGCAGUGGGGAAUUUUCCGCAAUGGGCGAAAGCCUGACGGAGCAACGCCGCGUGAGGGAUGAAGGCCUCUGGGCUGUAAACCUCUUUUCUCAAGGAAGAAGACAUGACGGUACUUGAGGAAUAAGCCACAGCUAAUUCCGUGCCAGCAGCCGCGGUAAUACGGGAGUGGCAAGCGUUAUCCGGAAUUAUUGGGCGUAAAGCGUCCGCAGGCGGCCCUGUAAGUCUGUCGUUAAAGCGUGGAGCUUAACUCCAUUUAAGCGAUGGAAACUACAGGGCUUGAGUGUGGUAGGGGCAGAGGGAAUUCCCGGUGUAGCGGUGAAAUGCGUAGAUAUCGGGAAGAACACCAGUGGCGAAGGCGCUCUGCUGGGCCAUAACUGACGCUCAUGGACGAAAGCCAGGGGAGCGAAAGGGAUUAGAUACCCCUGUAGUCCUGGCCGUAAACGAUGAACACUAGGUGUCGGGGGAAUCGACCCCCUCGGUGUCGUAGCCAACGCGUUAAGUGUUCCGCCUGGGGAGUACGCACGCAAGUGUGAAACUCAAAGGAAUUGACGGGGGCCCGCACAAGCGGUGGAGUAUGUGGUUUAAUUCGAUGCAACGCGAAGAACCUUACCAGGGUUUGACAUCCUGCGAAUCCCUUGGAAACGAGGGAGUGCCUUCGGGAGCGCAGAGACAGGUGGUGCAUGGCUGUCGUCAGCUCGUGUCGUGAGAUGUUGGGUUAAGUCCCGCAACGAGCGCAACCCACGUCUUUAGUUGCCAGCAUUCAGUUGGGCACUCUAGAGAGACCGCCGGUGAUAAACCGGAGGAAGGUGUGGAUGACGUCAAGUCAUCAUGCCCCUUACAUCCUGGGCUACACACGUACUACAAUGCUACGGACAAAGGGCAGCAAGCUCGCGAGAGUUAGCAAAUCCCAUAAACCGUGGCUCAGUUCAGAUCGUAGGCUGCAACUCGCUUACGUGAAGGAGGAAUCGCUAGUAAUCGCAGGUCAGCAUACUGCGGUGAAUACGUUCCCGGGCCUUGUACACACCGCCCGUCACACCAUGGAAGUUGGCCAUGCCCGAAGUCGUUACUCCAACCGU